UUAGCAGAAGGAGGCUGUGCAACACUUCCUCAGAAGGCCUGGUAUGAUACUCACAUUCAUCUUGCUGCAGUGACUGACCUCAGGCCAAUUACCCAAGGGCUGUGAAACUGAAUUUCUUCACAUGUGAAGUGAGGCCAAAUGAACUACCCUGCACUUGGUGGGAAUGUAGAACAGGAGAAUGCAUGCAAAACCAGGGAGAAAAUGAAGCCUCUUGACAGUUCAUAGCCUAGUAUUCAGAUCAAUAAUCAUUGAUAAUUAGCAUUCAUUAACAAGACCUCCAGCAGAAGAGUUAAAAGAACUAGAAGCAGUGGCUCCCAGAACCCCAGUGCCUUCUACUUCACAGACUGUGGAUGUGGUCUGCCAGUCUGCAGAUGACCCAUUCUGAGCAGAACCUGGGAUGGUAUCUCAGAUUUCACCUCAGUCUUGGUGCCAACAGAAUAUGUUCCCUAGUUCACCAGUGAAGUUCAUAAAGUACAAAUUGAAUGCAAAUUCCUUUUUUUAGCUCAGGUGUUCUUCCAAGAGUUACAGAGCAAGCUGUUCCUGCUGCUGCUGCUGCUGCUGCUGCUGCAUGUCUGUCUCAGCAGGCAGAGUGAAAACACAGUGGAUUUGUUUAGAGUUCCAAUGCGCUUUUCCCUGCUUCCUCACCUGACCUCAAGGAUUCCAGAAGGAUAAUUUUGUGAAGCUUUGUUGUGUAGACGAGAAGACCUGAAUCAUUGUAUGUCACAACAGGAACCACUAAGCCAAAUGCCACAGACCAAAUUACCACGUCAUCCCUCAAAUAGGUUGUUAUGGCAGGUCUGGGCAGCUGGGUCACCAAAAUGCUCUAUCUGGGUUUGUUUUCCGCUUAUCCUCAGUAGGGGGUAGAAUGGGGGUGGCCUCCUGCAAACAUCAGUGCCUACAGCCAUUUGGAACAUACUCCAGCUUCAUCAAAGUUAUUAUGGGACAGAAAGGCAAUAGAAAUGUUUAUGUUCCUUUUCCAAAGGCAGAGUCAGAGAGCUUUAGAUGGUUUAAGGUACGAAUGUGUCUAUAGAACAGAGGAAGGAAAAGGUGAGAUGAGUUUCUGAGCAACCAGGACUCACAAAACUGAGAAAAGGGUGCAUGGUACAUGAGACAAGUUUUUAAAUUAGUCCGACCCUAGUGAUCCAGAGUCCUGGAAUGCUUUACCUUUUCAUCUCAGUAACAGUUGCCACCACCUUCAUAUGGGCAGGACAGGGAAGGAGUUCCAUGAUUGAAAGACAUUUAUGCAGUAGUUCUUAAACACUAGUUUACACAAGAAUCCCAUGGUAUCAUUUUUAAAGUGCAGAUUCUCCAGUCCUUGCACAGAAGUAACUCAAACCUCAUGCUUAAUCCCAGUGAGGACCAUUUGGCUCUGAUUAGGUGUGGAAAUGGAGAUCUUCCAUGUGAGCCUUCAUUCACAGACACCCUAACUUACAGGCCACAACCACACAACUGUGGCUUGUUGCCAAAGACUUAUCAUUAGGAUAGCCACAGGUAAACUUGAUGGCUAAGAUGCCUAGAUAGCAAGUCUGAAUAUUCCUCUUGACCUCAAUAUCAGGAAUUUGUUGUAAAGGUCAAAUUUCAAUUUGAAAUUACAUGGUGGGAAAAGAUCAGGCUGUGGCUUGUCCCCAGAGCACAUGUUGCUCAGCACGGGCUAUGUCACGUGUGUCAGCACAUUUGACUUGAGGGGGAAAUUUUCCCAACACAGGUCACCAGGCUUGCAUAAAACUAACAAACUACAAGAUUUUCACUUCACCAGGCUCUCAA
Molecule: long non-coding RNA, 1764 nt
Organism: Apodemus sylvaticus (European woodmouse)
Lineage: Eukaryota; Metazoa; Chordata; Mammalia; Rodentia; Muridae
Exons: 4
Source: RefSeq, a predicted model, not a curated record